Marmota monax (woodchuck) is the source of this 1159-nucleotide long non-coding RNA. RefSeq lists it as uncharacterized. The transcript has 5 exons. The record is from RefSeq and is a predicted model, not a curated record. Lineage: Eukaryota; Metazoa; Chordata; Mammalia; Rodentia; Sciuridae.
CCGCCUUUACUUCCAUUUUCGUUUCAGGAGGCGUGGUGGCACUCAGUUCAUAAUUUUGGGCCAAUAGUGUUGCUCCUUUUUCCAAACACUUAUUAGCAUAACCGUGAACCAAUGGCAUUGACCCACACACUGGCUGCAAGCUGCCCUGUUGUCUUCCAGGCAGGUCUUUGGCUGAGUGGGCAGAACCUGCUAUCAAGAGCUGCUUGGCUGCAGAGGUUUGUCACUUAGGAAGAAAACACUCGCCAGUACAAGCGGAAAAACUCUACUUUCACUACAGGGACGUUUUAGCAAGUGGCUGCUAACUUGCAGAAGAUCAUAGAUGAUCCCAAAGCUUUAAAAACAUUGACAUUUAAUUUGCAAGGGAAAUGUACAAUUUUCCCCACAUAUGAAGUCCUGUCAAAAUAUGCCUGGCAAAAUGCGCCACUAUCCACCAUCCUCACCAGUGCAAAUCAAUAAGACUUCCUGAUCUUGGACUUUAAUCCUCCAAAACUAUUACAACACUAAAGGCAGAGCCAACAAUCAGAGAGAAAAUUAUCCAGAUGAAUUGGAGACUGAAGAAAGAGAAUUUCUUCACUAACGGAGAUUUAUCUAAAGUUGGAGCAGAUACCCUUGUAUGUGGAGAAGCACAUGAAAUUAAAGGAAUAUUUUGUUUGAUUUAUGACAAAAUAAAGUACUGAAGAAAAUUUUUAUACUUGUGAUUCAGUAGCAUAAGUGAAAUAAUGGUAAGGCAUGUGCAACACUAUUGUAAGAGAGCUUAAGAAGGGAAGAGACUAUAGGAUCCCACGCACAGGGGCAGAGACAUAUUGAAAUUACAAAAGAGCAGGAAAAAUUCUUGGGUUUUAAUUGUAAAUUUGUCAGGCAAAUUUAUACGUGUAUACCAGAGAGGAGCUUGGGAAUUUUUUGUUGGGAGAAUGUGUAUAUUGUUGAAUAAAGUAAAGGCUAGGGGGAAAAAGAAGCAGGGAGCUGAAGACUGAAAAAACACUAUGCCUAUCAGUUUCAAUAUGGAAAUACUAUGGCUUCAUAUCUAUCAAAUGAUAUGAUCAUUACCUAUCUUAAAAUGAAAGGCUUUUAAACUAUCACUUAUAAAAUUGAAAAAGUUAAAGAAGAUAAAAUGAAAAAAAUGUAAAAUCCUAUAGUAGGAGCACAAACAAAUUAAAAA